This is a long non-coding RNA of Populus euphratica (Euphrates poplar), 865 nucleotides long. RefSeq lists it as uncharacterized. The transcript is spliced from 2 exons. The record is from RefSeq and is a predicted model, not a curated record. NCBI's taxonomy places the organism in Eukaryota, Viridiplantae, Streptophyta, Magnoliopsida, Malpighiales, Salicaceae.
GAAAAAAAAAACAGAAGAUUUUAGUCGUUGUUGGGGCACUUGGUCUCUUUUAUAUUGAAGGCUCAAGCCUUCCCUCAAACCACUUCUCUCUAUAUUACACACACACACAGACUGGGACUUCUAUGGAGGUUUUUGUAUGUUUUUACUGCAACUAGAGGAGGCAUCCAAAGGGAUCGCAUUGAUCCCAAGUGUCUGUCCCCCAUAAUUUUGGAUCAUGCUAUCCCUUUGGAUUCCUCCUUUGGUGGCUUCUAUAACAUUAAUGGGUUUUAGUAGUGGUGAUGCUCCACACACUCGCCCUUCUCAUGCAUCAUCAACACCAACAAGUUUAGUAUGGCUCACCGAGAAAACCAACCUUGUAUUGAAGUUUGUUCAGACAGCCAAUUUUAUUAUAUCAACGUACAGAACUACAGAUCAAAUUUUAAAUGAAACCUCGCAAUAUUGCCACUUACAAACCAUUGGAUUAAUCCAAACUCCAAAUUUGGCACGACGCCAGUGGAUCUGAUUUUAAUAAGGCUACAUACUACUGUCUACUUGCCCCAGAAAAAAAGAAAUGGACAUUAGCUUCGAGAAAAUUUCCAAGAGGGUAAGUAUCUUCUUGUUAUUGUUGCUUACAGUUGUCAUGAAUGUGAUUUGGUAAUUUUAUAAUACCCACAUUUAGUCCUUCAAGAUUAAAUGGUAAACAUGUAACCAAGGACGAAUAUUUAUUCCUUCUUUCAAAACAUGUGAGACGAUAAAUUUAUUUGUUGUUCGAGGGAGUCUGUACCGAUCUUCAAUAGGUGUGGGGUUUUCUGGCGGAGCUCCUACGCAAUCUCCAACCGAGAACUCUUGUUUUCAGUGAAAGAAUUAGAAGUUAAGUUCUGGUGAA